GUUAUAACCAGGUUAUAACCUGGUUAUAUCCAGGUAAUGUCUCAGGUUAUAACCAGGUAAUGUCUCAGGAUAUAACCAGGUUAUAACCAGGUUAUAAC
This is a non-coding RNA of Xyrichtys novacula (pearly razorfish), 98 nucleotides long. NCBI's taxonomy places the organism in Eukaryota, Metazoa, Chordata, Actinopteri, Labriformes, Labridae. The record is from the annotation of a GenBank genome assembly.